RNAcentral lists this ribosomal RNA (483 nucleotides) under uncultured bacterium. Its description in RNAcentral is "partial 16S ribosomal RNA". It matches the Rfam family "Bacterial small subunit ribosomal RNA", at positions 28 to 507 of the family's 1533-position model. The record is from RNAcentral.
GACGAACGCUGGCGGCGUGCUUAACACAUGCAAGUCGAACGCUGAAGCUCAGCUUUUGUUGGGUGGAUGAGUGGCGAACGGGUGAGUAACACGUGAGUAACCUGCCUCCUUCUUUGGGAUAACGCCCGGAAACGGGUGCUAAUACUGGAUAUUCACUGGUCUUCGCAUGGGGGUUGGUGGAAAGGGUUUUUCUGGUGGGGGAUGGGCUCGCGGCCUAUCAGCUUGUUGGUGGGGUGAUGGCCUACCAAGGCUUUGACGGGUAGCCGGACUGAGAGGGUGACCGGUCACAUUGGGACUGAGAUACGGCCCAGACUCCUACGGGAGGCAGCAGUGGGGAAUAUUGCACAAUGGGCGCAAGCCUGAUGCAGCGACGCCGCGUGAGGGAUGGAGGCCUUCGGGUUGUGAACCUCUUUCGCUCAUGGUCAAGCCGCAACAAUGGUUGUGGUGAGGGUAGUGGGUAAAGAAGCGCCGGCUAACUACGUG